AGAGUUUGAUCAUGGCUCAGGACGAACGCUGGCGGCGUGCCUAAUACAUGCAAGUAGAACGCUGAAGAGAGGAGCUUGCUCUUCUUGGAUGAGUUGCGAACGGGUGAGUAACGCGUAGGUAACCUGCCUUGUAGCGGGGGAUAACUAUUGGAAACGAUAGCUAAUACCGCAUAACAAUGGAUGACACAUGUCAUUUAUUUGAAAGGGGCAAUUGUUCCACUACAAGAUGGACCUGCGUUGUAUUAGCUAGUAGGUGAGGUAAUGGCUCACCUAGGCGACGAUACAUAGCCGACCUGAGAGGGUGAUCGGCCACACUGGGACUGAGACACGGCCCAGACUCCUACGGGAGGCAGCAGUAGGGAAUCUUCGGCAAUGGGGGCAACCCUGACCGAGCAACGCCGCGUGAGUGAAGGAGGUUUUCGGAUCGUAAAGCUCUGUUGUAAGUCAAGAACGGGUGUGAGAGUGGAAAGUUCACACUGUGACGGUAGCUUACCAGAAAGGGACGGCUAACUACGUGCCAGCAGCCGCGGUAAUACGUAGGUCCCGAGCGUUGUCCGGAUUUAUUGGGCGUAAAGCGAGCGCAGGCGGUUUGAUAAGUCUGAAGUUAAAGGCUGUGGCUCAACCAUAGUUCGCUUUGGAAACUGUCAAACUUGAGUGCAGAAGGGGAGAGUGGAAUUCCAUGUGUAGCGGUGAAAUGCGUAGAUAUAUGGAGGAACACCGGUGGUGAAAGCGGCUCUCUGGUCUGUAACUGACGCUGAGGCUCGAAAGCGUGGGGAGCGAACAGGAUUAGAUACCCUGGUAGUCCACGCCGUAAACGAUGAGUGCUAGGUGUUGGAUCCUUUCCGGGAUUCAGUGCCGCAGCUAACGCAUUAAGCACUCCGCCUGGGGAGUACGACCGCAAGGUUGAAACUCAAAGGAAUUGACGGGGGCCCGCACAAGCGGUGGAGCAUGUGGUUUAAUUCGAAGCAACGCGAAGAACCUUACCAGGUCUUGACAUCCCGAUGCUAUUUCUAGAGAUAGAAAGUUACUUCGGUACAUCGGUGACAGGUGGUGCAUGGUUGUCGUCAGCUCGUGUCGUGAGAUGUUGGGUUAAGUCCCGCAACGAGCGCAACCCCUAUUGUUAGUUGCCAUCAUUCAGUUGGGCACUCUAGCGAGACUGCCGGUAAUAAACCGGAGGAAGGUGGGGAUGACGUCAAAUCAUCAUGCCCCUUAUGACCUGGGCUACACACGUGCUACAAUGGUUGGUACAACGAGUUGCGAGUCGGUGACGGCGAGCUAAUCUCUUAAAGCCAAUCUCAGUUCGGAUUGUAGGCUGCAACUCGCCUACAUGAAGUCGGAAUCGCUAGUAAUCGCGGAUCAGCACGCCGCGGUGAAUACGUUCCCGGGCCUUGUACACACCGCCCGUCACACCACGAGAGUUUGUAACACCCGAAGUCGGUGAGGUAACCUUUUGGAGCCAGCCGCCUAAGGUGGGACAGAUGAUUGGGGUGAAGUCGUAACAAGGUA
This 1506-nucleotide ribosomal RNA is filed under the name metagenome. Its description in RNAcentral is "bacterial SSU rRNA". It matches the Rfam family "Bacterial small subunit ribosomal RNA". The record is from RNAcentral.